GACGAACUCUGGCGGCGUGCCUAAUACAUGCAAGUCGAACGAGCGGCGGACGGGUGAGUAAUGUAUGGGGACUGCCCGAUAGAGGGGGAUAACUACUGGAAACGGUAGCUAAUACCGCAUACUAUCGGAUAACCCAUAUGGGAUUAGCUAGUAGGUGAGGUAAUGGCUCACCUAGGCGACGAUCCCUAGCUGGUCUGAGAGGAUGAUCAGCCACACGGGGACUGAGACACGGCCCAGACUCCUACGGAGGCAGCAGUGGGGAAUAUUGCACAAUGGGCGCAAGCCUGAUGCAGCCAUGCCGCGUGUAUGAAGAAGGCCCUAGGGUUGUAAAGUACUUUUGGCAGAGAAGCGGUAUCUGCAGAAUAAGCACCGGCUAACUACGUGCCAGCAGCCGCGGUAAUUC
Molecule: ribosomal RNA, 403 nt
Filed under: uncultured bacterium
Lineage: Bacteria
Description: partial 16S ribosomal RNA
Rfam family: Bacterial small subunit ribosomal RNA
Source: RNAcentral